GCAUCAUCAAUGACCGGGAAGAGUACACAUGGCUAGAGAGCCGCAGCGAGCCAAUGAAAGUGAGAGUUUGGCGCCGCUCAGCAUGUCGAAUGGGCCCGGGAGAUACGAUCCGAUCCAGCUUUAGGGGUAGGCGUCGUCGGGGUUUCUUCCGCCGUUAUCAGGAAGAGGGUAUCGGACAUCUGUCCUGUACUUCUUAAGCCGGACUAUUUUUAUAGUCAAUUAGGGUGGCACCGCGGGUUAACGCCUCGUCCCUUCA
This 256-nucleotide non-coding RNA is filed under the name Anaerosporomusa subterranea. RNAcentral's name for it is "Anaerosporomusa subterraneum T-box sequence". It matches the Rfam family "T-box leader". From Rfam's summary of the family: Uncharged tRNA acts as the effector for transcription antitermination of genes in the T-box leader family. Lineage: Bacteria; Bacillati; Bacillota; Negativicutes; Acetonemataceae. The record is from RNAcentral.